RNAcentral lists this ribosomal RNA (700 nucleotides) under Pseudomonas sp. Its description in RNAcentral is "bacterial SSU rRNA". It matches the Rfam family "Bacterial small subunit ribosomal RNA", at positions 99 to 795 of the family's 1533-position model. Lineage: Bacteria; Pseudomonadati; Pseudomonadota; Gammaproteobacteria; Pseudomonadales; Pseudomonadaceae. The record is from RNAcentral.
CGGACGGGUGAGUAAUGCCUAGGAAUCUGCCUAGUGGUGGGGGAUAACGUUCGGAAACGGACGCUAAUACCGCAUACGUCCUACGGGAGAAAGCGGGGGAUCUUCGGACCUCGCGCCAUUAGAUGAGCCUAGGUCGGAUUAGCUAGUUGGUGAGGUAAUGGCUCACCAAGGCGACGAUCCGUAACUGGUCUGAGAGGAUGAUCAGUCACACUGGAACUGAGACACGGUCCAGACUCCUACGGGAGGCAGCAGUGGGGAAUAUUGGACAAUGGGCGAAAGCCUGAUCCAGCCAUGCCGCGUGUGUGAAGAAGGUCUUCGGAUUGUAAAGCACUUUAAGUUGGGAGGAAGGGUAGUAACCUAAUACGUUGCUACUUUGACGUUACCGACAGAAUAAGCACCGGCUAACUUCGUGCCAGCAGCCGCGGUAAUACGAAGGGUGCAAGCGUUAAUCGGAAUUACUGGGCGUAAAGCGCGCGUAGGUGGUUCAGUAAGUUGGAAGUGAAAUCCCCGGGCUCAACCUGGGAACUGCUUUCAAAACUGCUGAGCUAGAGUACGGUAGAGGGUGGUGGAAUUUCCUGUGUAGCGGUGAAAUGCGUAGAUAUAGGAAGGAACACCAGUGGCGAAGGCGACCACCUGGACUGAUACUGACACUGAGGUGCGAAAGCGUGGGGAGCAAACAGGAUUAGAUACCCUGGUAGUC